CAGUCGCCGCGGGAAUACGGAAGGUCCAGGCGUUAUCCGGACUUAUUGGGUUUAAAGGGAGUGUAGGCGGUCUGUUAAGCGUGUUGUGAAAUUUAGGUGCCCAACAUCUAACUUGCAGCGCGAACUGGCGGACUUGAGUGCACGCAACGUAUGCGGAAUUCAUGGUGUAGCGGUGAAAUGCUUAGAUAUCAUGACGAACUCCGAUUGCGAAGGCAGCGUACGGGAGUGUUACUGACGCUUAAGCUCGAAGGUGCGGGUAUCGAACAGGAUUAGAUACCCCCGUAGUCCCUGUCUCUUAUAC
Molecule: ribosomal RNA, 301 nt
Filed under: uncultured bacterium
Lineage: Bacteria
Description: partial 16S ribosomal RNA
Rfam family: Bacterial small subunit ribosomal RNA
Source: RNAcentral